UACGGAGGGUGCAAGCGUUAAUCGGAAUUACUGGGCGUAAAGCGCGCGUAGGCGGUUAUGUCAGUCGGAUGUGAAAGCCCCGGGCUCAACCUGGGAAUUGCAUUCGAUACUGCAUGGCUAGAGUCUGGUAGAGGCUAGCGGAAUUCCAGGUGUAGCGGUGAAAUGCGUAGAUAUCUGGAGGAACAUCAGUGGCGAAGGCGGCUGGCUGGACCAAGACUGACGCUGAGGUGCGAAAGCGUGGGGAGCAAACAGG
Molecule: ribosomal RNA, 253 nt
Filed under: uncultured bacterium
Lineage: Bacteria
Description: partial 16S ribosomal RNA
Rfam family: Bacterial small subunit ribosomal RNA
Source: RNAcentral